RNAcentral lists this ribosomal RNA (194 nucleotides) under uncultured eukaryote. RNAcentral describes it as "partial 18S ribosomal RNA". It matches the Rfam family "Eukaryotic small subunit ribosomal RNA", at positions 1 to 193 of the family's 1831-position model. The record is from RNAcentral.
GGAACCUGGUUGAUCCUGCCAGUAGCAUACGCUUGUCUCAAAGAUUAAGCCAUGCAUGUCUAAGUAUAAACGAUUCUAUACUGUGAAACUGCGAAUGGCUCAUUAUAUCAGUUAUAGUUUAUUUGAUGGUCUUUGCUACUUGGAUAACCGUAGUAAUUCUAGAGCUAAUACAUGCAUCAAACCCUGACUUCUGG